CUAAUUGAGUGGUUAGUUCCGCAACUUUGGAAGAAAAUUCCAUGAUCUCAUCCAAAUUAACAAAAUUAAGAGAGAAUGCUGCUACUAUUAAUGAACAGGACAAAAGAAAUUUUUUUUUUUUUUUUGCCCUUUUCACUCAGUUCUUAUGGGGUAAUUCAGAAAUUAGGAGGCGGAUUCAUUGGUGUAGAUGGCAUUCGGUUUGUCAUCCGGUUAAGGAGGGUGCUUGGGCAUCCGAUCUUUUAAUGAUCUGGCUCGGCUUUUCAGCUUAAACUUCGAUGGCAUUUUCAAGAAAAACGCUUUGUUUGGGCUUCUUUCAUGAAGUCCAAUUGCUGCAGAGCUAUGCACCCAAGGUUCGUUCAAUUUCAUUAUCUUGCUUCUUCGCUUUGGAGACAGCUUUGCUUGAUUCAAUGUGUUGCUGAGCCUCAUGUGUGGUUCGAUGGUUUGGCUAUGGGAUGUGUAGUUUCUAUACGAUUGUCAGUUGCACUCUUGUCCUUUUUUGUUUUUGUUUUUUCAUAAUUUCAAUACGGCUUAUAUAGUGCCAAUUUUCUUUUAUUGGUAGUGUACUGUCUAGGAUAUGGGUAAGCUCUAUGAUGUGUUGCCCUCAUCGAUUGUUGAAUAGAUUAUGUUGAUUCUUAUUUCUAGAAUGGGUACAGACAUGAUUCGUUAGGAUCCUCCUCAUGAUGGUGAUUUCUGUUUACGGAUAGCUUGGAAGCUUGUUCGUGGCUCUCGGCCGUGGGAUUAUGUUUUUUCUAUUAUAUGGCAGUAGCAUAUUCCUACUCUUUUUUUUCCUCCUCUAGUGGGUAUUACAUGGCUUUUUGGCUACUAACGAUGCCUUGUGCUCGAGGGAAUUUUAUAUGUUUUCUCAGUGUCUCUAUGGUCAAGCUAUUAAGACUUAUUGGCAUCUUUUUCUCAAUUGCCCGUUGAGUAGACAAGUUUGGCACCAUUUUCUCCAUGCUUUUGGUUUGUGGCAUGUUGUCUAUUUGUUCCCCCAUGCUCUUCUAAUUCAUUGGUAGUGUUGUGCUCCCUCUCAAAAUCAUCUUCAAGCACUCCUCCUUUGCUUCAUUUUGCAGCAUGUCUGGAAUGCUCUUAAUACUUUUAAGUUCUACUCAAUGGCUUUUUCUUUGGAUAUGGUUAUUUAUCAGGUAACGUUGGACCUCAGGCUAGCUAAGUCAGCCUUUAGCUUUAAACAUUCCCAACAACGGGGAGUUUUCGAUUCUUGAAUUAGGGAGGAAUUGAGAGUUAUUGGUCCAUUUAGGAGGCCAAUUAGAUUAAUUUCUUCGUUGCGGCCGUCGCCUGAGGUGGUGAAGUUGAUUGUGGAUGGUUACUCUAGAGGCAAUCAUAAGUUGUCGACUACGGGUGGUAUCCUUCGUGAUCACCAUGGUAUGGUCCUCGCUGCUUUUGGUUUUUUUUUUUUUCUAGGUCAUCAACGAAUCCUUCUAGGUCAUCAACGAAUCCUUUAUAUUAGGGUGGUAUCCUUCGUGAUCACCAUGGUAUGGUCCUCGCUGCUUUUGGUUUUUUUUUUUUUCUAGGUCAUCAACGAAUCCUUUAUAUUAAGCUGAUGGCGAUUUUUGAGGGUUUAAAGCUUGUUGCUCAGCUUGGUAACUCUAUACUAGAGGUAGAGUCUGACUCAGCUACUGUAGUCUCUUGAAUUCAAUCUUCGGCCUAUGGGCAUUGGGCUUAUGUAAAUAUUUUGCAUCGAGUUCGAAUCCUGUCCUCAACUCCCUCUAUCUUGGUUAGACAUGUUUUCUAAGAGGCAACUUCUGCGGUUAAUUUUAUUAAGAAUGGUCAGCACCACUCUUCUAGAAGAGCUAGUGGUGGUGCCAUGAAUUAUUUUUAGCGAGGGCUAAGUUCAAAUAGUAAUUUAAUUUAAGAAAAUGAUCCACAAAUAAUAUAUAUCAAAAUAAAAAUUCAUUAAAAUAUUUAAUUCAAUACACAUACAACUGUCCUCAACGAGGUUUUAUAUAGGUUGAAAAUGUUAAAAAAUAACCUCAUUAGCAAGGAUACAAAAUAUAUCUUUUUCUAUGUAUAUAGUAAGACUGUCAUUCAACCAUUGAUCUUUCAUCCGAUUUCACAUACGAUUUUUCACAAAAUUCGUAGUUGAAAAUGCUCUUUCUACUGUAGCUAUGACAACUGGUAAAAUCAAUGCUAAUGUCACCAAUAAAUACACUAAUGAAUAUAAUUUAUCCUUGUUACCAAUAAAAACACUAAUAAAUAUAAUUUAUCCUUGUUAAUCUCAAACAAUUUUUUUGCUAGCUCACCAAUCCCUUUCAAUCCUGAAAAUUUGUUGUCAGAACCCACAUCCAUAAUGUAAACAUCAAGUUGAGUGUGAGCUGCGAAGAUACGGUGGUGCCAGGCUGCGAGUGUGAACUGCAGGUUGUAGCGUCUGUGGCAUGAAAACAAAGAAGUGUGAUAAAGUGGG
RNAcentral lists this long non-coding RNA (2419 nucleotides) under Citrus sinensis (sweet orange). Its description in RNAcentral is "long non-coding RNA (CSIN_LNC002301)". Lineage: Eukaryota; Viridiplantae; Streptophyta; Magnoliopsida; Sapindales; Rutaceae. The record is from RNAcentral.